UACGUAGCAGCGAGCGUUGUUCGGAAUUACUGGGCGUAAAGAGUGUGUAGGCGGUGCUCCCAGUCUGUUGUGAAAUCUCCCGGCUUAACUGGGAGGGUGCAGCGGAAACUAGAGUGCUAGAGGGUGGGAGAGGUAAGCGGAAUUCCUGGUGUAGCGGUGAAAUGCGUAGAUAUCAGGAGGAACACCGGCGGUGUAGACGGCUUGCUAGACCAUAACUGACGCUGAGGCACGAAAAGCGUGGGUAGCAAACAGG
RNAcentral lists this ribosomal RNA (253 nucleotides) under uncultured bacterium. RNAcentral's name for it is "partial 16S ribosomal RNA". It matches the Rfam family "Bacterial small subunit ribosomal RNA", at positions 524 to 776 of the family's 1533-position model. The record is from RNAcentral.